CAACGCUGGACACGUCGCAAUAAUGCCGGACGUGCUGGAUACGCGUCAACUGAACCAGACAAUCAACCCGGUAAAGUUGGUGUUCAAUUCAAAGCCUAUCGGAAACUGACGGAGGGAGGCGCUACGUGCACGUUGGUUGAACCAAGUGCUUGCAGAUCUGGAGACAGCUCGUCGUCCGGGGUAUCUUCGAGCAGCAAAAGUGAACCUCUACCGCCUAAAAAGGUGAUGCAGGUUGAUUUACCAGCCCAAGUGACUAUCAACAGAGACGACAUUGAAAAUGCGGAGAAGCAGAAUCAUCCAGCGGAAAGUUUCAAGUAUUUUUUCGGACAUCUAGUAAAUUGUGACGUUUUCCAAAC
This is a long non-coding RNA of Culex quinquefasciatus (southern house mosquito), 356 nucleotides long. RefSeq lists it as uncharacterized. The transcript has 2 exons. The record is from RefSeq and is a predicted model, not a curated record. Lineage: Eukaryota; Metazoa; Arthropoda; Insecta; Diptera; Culicidae.